Molecule: long non-coding RNA, 200 nt
Filed under: Elaeis guineensis (African oil palm)
Lineage: Eukaryota; Viridiplantae; Streptophyta; Magnoliopsida; Arecales; Arecaceae
Description: long non-coding RNA (EGUI_LNC076390)
Source: RNAcentral
UAUAGUUGUGAAGAGUGUUCGAUUUUCGUUAGGAUUCGAAAUAAAGUGUGUGACGUACUACUAAUUUUGGGACGUAGAUAUUUUAAGGAGUAUUAGACUCAGACUAGGAUUCAAUUUGACAGCCAGCUUGAUUUUGUGUUGUAAAAUCUCAUAGGGUUCAAUUUGCCGAUCCGAAAAAGAUAAAUCACAUUGUUAGGAAG